UGGCGUUCUUCCCUGUUCCGGUUCGGUUUCUCCGUCCCGCAGACGCUCGAGCCGAUGCGGCGGAAAUCCCGCCUUCGCACUGCGUCGCACUCAGCUGUUUCAAAAUGCCACAUCCGCUUCCCGCGAGAGGGACCCUCAGUGGUCUUUUCAGAGGUAGUGUGGAUUUCCAAUCAAGGAGAAUAGCUUAAGGAGAAAGAAAAUUGAGGUUAUUCAGAUGAAGGUAUUUAAAAGUAGCUCAUUCAUAUAGCUGUGCUGGUUCAGAUUUGGUAACUCCUACUGAAACACAAUGAUGAAUAUGAUGAAUUAGUUCCUAAGCCGCCUUCCAUUUAUGUGAACAACCUAUAAUUCUACCUAAAAUAUAUAAAAAGGUAAACAUUUAAAAAUCUAACAUAGGUAAAAAGACAAAAUGAGAAAAAAAAAAUACCCUUGAGAGUGAUUUGGAAAUGCCAUCUAUCAUGAAUUGAAUGUUUGUGUCCCCAAAAUUUGUAUGUUGAGGCCCUAACCUCAAUGUGACUUUAUUUGGAGACAGGGCCUGUGAUAAAGGUUAAAUGAGAUCAUAAGGGUGGAAAUCUAAUCUACUAGGGCUAGUGCCCUUACAAGAAGAAGAAGAAACACCAUAGCUCUUUCCCUCCACUAUAUGAGGACAUAGCAAAAGGUGGCCACCUGUAAGCCAGGAGGAGAGCUCUCACCAGAAACCAAAUUGGCCAGCAACUUGAUCUUGGACUCCCCAGCCUCUAGAAGUAUGAGAAAUAAAUUUCCAUUGGUUAAGC
Molecule: long non-coding RNA, 770 nt
Organism: Neofelis nebulosa (Clouded leopard)
Lineage: Eukaryota; Metazoa; Chordata; Mammalia; Carnivora; Felidae
Exons: 2
Source: RefSeq, a predicted model, not a curated record